This 515-nucleotide ribosomal RNA is filed under the name Pseudoeurycea tenchalli. Its description in RNAcentral is "partial 16S ribosomal RNA". It matches the Rfam family "Bacterial large subunit ribosomal RNA", at positions 1817 to 2597 of the family's 2925-position model. The record is from RNAcentral. Lineage: Eukaryota; Metazoa; Chordata; Amphibia; Caudata; Plethodontidae.
CGCCUUUUGAACUAUAAACAUAAAAGGUCCUGCCUGCCCAGUGACACUUGUUUCAACGGCCGCGGUAUCAUGACCGUGCAAAGGUAGCGUAAUCACUUGUCUUUUAAAUAAAGACCAGUAUGAAUGGCAAGACGAAACCUAACUGUCUCCUUAAGCUAAUCAAUGAAACUGAUCUUCCCGUGCAGAAGCGGGAAUAAUAAUAUAAGACGAGAAGACCCUGUGGAGCUUCAAAAUUAAGCUACAAAUUAUAUGCCUAGCAUACAGUUUUGGGUUGGGGCGACCAUGAGGUAAAACAUAACCCUCGAGACAAAAACCUAAGAAGGACACUUCUAAUAAAUAAUAGUAUAGUAAUUGACCCAAUAAUUGAUCAACGAACCAAGUUACCCCAGGGAUAACAGCGCAAUCUACUCAAAGAGCCCUUAUCGACGAGCAGGUUUACGACCUCGAUGUUGGAUCAGGACUUCCAAAUAAUGUAACAGUUAUUAAAGGUUCGUUUGUUCAACGAUUAAAGUCCU